This 59-nucleotide transfer RNA is filed under the name Actinidia latifolia. Its description in RNAcentral is "tRNA-Asp". Lineage: Eukaryota; Viridiplantae; Streptophyta; Magnoliopsida; Ericales; Actinidiaceae. The record is from RNAcentral.
AGUUCUCCUAAUCGAGAGCACCGCCCUGUCAAGGCGGAAGCUGCGGGUUCGAGUCCCGU